Molecule: ribosomal RNA, 489 nt
Filed under: uncultured bacterium
Lineage: Bacteria
Description: partial 16S ribosomal RNA
Rfam family: Bacterial small subunit ribosomal RNA
Source: RNAcentral
GACGAACGCUGGCGGCGUGCUUAACACAUGCAAGUCGAACGGAAAGGCCCCCAUCUUGGUGGGGGUGCUCGAGUGGCGAACGGGUGAGUAACACGUGGGUGAUCUGCCCUGUACUUCGGGAUAAGCUUGGGAAACUGGGUCUAAUACCGGAUAGGACCAUGGUUUAGUGUCUCAUGGUGGAAAGAUUAUUGUUUUGGUGCAGGAUGAGCUCGCGGCCUAUCAGCUUGUUGGUGGGGUAAUGGCCUACCAAGGCGUCGACGGGUAGCCGGCCUGAGAGGGUGGACGGCCACAUUGGGACUGAGAUACGGCACAGACUCCUACGGGAGGCAGCAGUGGGGAAUAUUGCACAAUGGGAGCAAGCCUGAUGCAGCGACGCCGCGUGGGGGAUGACGGCCUUCGGGUUGUAAACUCCUUUCGUUAGGAACGAAGCCGCACUUUUUUUGGGUGUGGUGACGGUACCUUUGUUAAGAAGCUCCGGCUAACUACGUG